GCAUCCAUGGCUGAAUGGUUAAAGUGCCCAACUCAUAAUUGGUGAAUUUGUAGGUUCAAUUCCUGAUAAGGGAUGUA
RNAcentral lists this transfer RNA (77 nucleotides) under Olea europaea subsp. europaea. RNAcentral describes it as "tRNA.Met". It matches the Rfam family "tRNA". Rfam says of the family: Transfer RNA (tRNA) molecules are approximately 80 nucleotides in length. Their secondary structure includes four short double-helical elements and three loops (D, anti-codon, and T loops). The record is from RNAcentral. Lineage: Eukaryota; Viridiplantae; Streptophyta; Magnoliopsida; Lamiales; Oleaceae.